Molecule: long non-coding RNA, 941 nt
Organism: Ananas comosus (pineapple)
Lineage: Eukaryota; Viridiplantae; Streptophyta; Magnoliopsida; Poales; Bromeliaceae
Exons: 2
Source: RefSeq, a predicted model, not a curated record
UUUACCAAAUAUAGAUAUUUUUAGUUAAUAAAUAAAUACGUAAUAUGAAACUAAUAUCUGAAUAAUUUUGCAAUCAGGUACAAACUAAAUGCUAUUGUCGAGGAUGAGACAGGAUCGGCAAACUUCACAAUUUUUGGCAAAUUAGCACAAGACCUAAUACAUGCGCCUGCUCAUCAUCUUGCAACUGCAAUCAAUUCAGAUCGAAAUGUUCUGCCUACUGCUAUAAAAAAUAUUCUCGGUCAAACUUAUAUUUUUCAAGUCUUAGCCGAUUCUCGAAAACAUAAUAUUGGUGUGCCAUCAUUUAGAGUUGCAAAAAUUUUUGCACCUGAUUUAGAUACAAAAGGAAAAGGUAAACAGGUCAGCACAAAUACUGAAAUAACUGGAGAAGUAACUGAUACAACUGCAAUUGCUACUGAAUCUCAUUAUGGAUUAAAUGAAGUAUCACCUUAUCUAACUGUGGAAUCAUUGUGAGUAUUCCAUUUUUUGGUUUAUUGUCACCAAUUUAACUUAUUAAAUUGUAUCUCAAACUAUUUUUUAUAUUAACUUUAUUAAUUUUUUUCCAGGAUUACACAACCAAGCUCAGAAAUGCUUCAACUGAACAAAAAAAAAAGGCUUUUUAGAUUCUACAUCCGACAGAGAAUGAAGCCUAUUACUAAGUAGUAUAAAUAUUAUAUAUCUUUUUAAGGAAUAUGUUUUGAUAAAUAGCGUGUACUUAUAUUUCUUUUUAAGAAGUAUGUUUUGAUGAAUAAUACACACUGUGCUCAGCAGUUACUGCUUUAUUAAGUAUUUGCUUAAAUACCAGACACUUGUAUUAGUAUAUCAAUACUUAAAUUGGAUUCAUCCUGUAAACUCUCUCUUUCCACUCAAACAAUCCUCUGUGGAAUUUUAUUAGAAUGAUAUCUGUUCAACCUUAAAUGCAAACUCACCAUCUCUUUGUGGUU